GGUGUGGCCUUUGUGGGUGGCUUCAGCUACGCAGAUGUCCUGGGCUCUGCCAAAGGUCAGUGUGUAGACUACUGCAUCUGCCAUUUCCACGUUCUUUGGUAAAAUGUCUUUGGCUUCUUCUGCCCAGGCUGUGGCUGACUUGUUGCCCCACAAAGUCAGGCAGAGUGCUCUGGACCAAAGGCCAGCAGAAGGAGAAUGUCUGAAAUGAGGUGGCUGGCUUUCCAGAGCUAUAGAAGCCGAGAGGGCAUGGUGCAUCUGAACAGUUGGCUGCUCUUCAACUUGAUCAGAUUGUCCUGUUCUCUGGAAAGAUGGUUCAGCACUAGAUCAAGAGAGGGCAAAAGGUCAAGCUUUUUAUGUGUGAACUCUUUUCCUUUUUUUCAUAAGAUACGAUUUCAUGAAGCGUAAGCUGCUCAGACUCAAAGUAGCCUUGGAAGACAUGUUAUCUUAGCCUUUCAAGUAUUGGGAUUUACAUGUGUGACAUCUUACUGUUGAAUCUUAGACAACUACAGAGCAUUAAAAGUAUACAUUUUGGGGCUGGAGAGAUGGCUCAGCGGUUAAGAGCACUGACUGCUCUUCCAGAGGUCCUGAGUUCAAUUCCCAGCAACCACAUGGUGGCUCACAACCAUCUGUAAUGGGACCUGAUGCCCUCUUCUGGUGUGUCUGAAGACAGCCACAGUAUACUCAUAUACAAAUAAAUAAAAUAAAUUUUUUUAAAAAAAGUAUACAUUUUGACUUAGCAUAAAGAAAUUCAUGGAUCCCUGUGCAGCCUGAUUGAAGCAGAUCAGGCUGUUUCUUCCCUCGGGUUUGUCCCAGGGUCUGAAGAGAAGAACUGACUCUAGAAUAGAGGGCUGUUAAUUCCCUUCACUCCCUGCUUCUGCUUUUCUUGGGCCUUUUACAUCUCACCCUGGCUUACCUGUUCUUCCUAGGUUGGGCAGCUGCAGUGACCUUCAAUCCACAGGCCAGGGAAGAGCUGGGCCGCUUCCGCAGGCGGCCAGACACCUUCAGCCUGGGCGUGUGUAAUGG
This 1023-nucleotide long non-coding RNA is filed under the name Rattus norvegicus (Norway rat). Its description in RNAcentral is "long non-coding RNA NONRATT005563". Lineage: Eukaryota; Metazoa; Chordata; Mammalia; Rodentia; Muridae. The record is from RNAcentral.